UGUUACCAAGGUUUCCUGGGGUUCGGGCGGUGGCGCGACGGCGGCUUAGAGACGCGAACCGACCGAGAUCUUCCUAGGCUCGCGAGAGCGCCCCCUUCUCUAGCGGCUUAGGGGACCCAGCGGCCGCGAUGGCCCCUGUGUCGGGUUCGCGCAGCCCUGAGGGGUCGGCCUCGGGCUCCGGGGGGAAGCGUCGCAGUUCGUCCAGAAGCCCUAAGCCCAGCCGAUCCGCCCGCUCCCCGCGGGGCCGUCGCUCGCGCUCGAGAUCUCGCUCGCACUCUUGCUCUCGGAAUGGUCUCAGCCAUCAGCUGGGCAGCUUCGGUCAGGGCUCGCGAAACCAGUCCUACCGUUCCCGCUCGCGGUCCCGCUCCCGGGAGCGGCCCUCGGCGCAGCGGGGCAACACCUUCGCUUCAGCCUCCUCGACCACGUAUUAUGGCGGCUACUCGCGCCCCUAUGGGAGCGACAAGCCAUGGCCCAGCCUUCUGGACAAGGAGAGGGAGGAGAGCCUGCGGCAGAAGAGAUUAAGUGAGAGAGAAAGAAUUGGAGAACUGGGAGCUCCUGAAGUAUGGGGACUUUCUCCAAAGAAUCCAGAACCAGACUCUGAUGAACACACACCAGUGGAGGACGAUGAGCCAAAGAAAAGCACCAGUUCAGCUUCUACUUCAGAAGAAGAAAAGAAGAAGAAGAAGAAGUCUAAUCAUUCGAAAGAGAGGUCCAAGAAAAAGAGAAAGAAGAAAUCCUCUAAAAGAAAACGCAAGAAGUACUCUGAUGACAGCGACAGUGACUCUGACUCUGACUCAGACUCCAGUGAUGAAGAUACAAAAAGAAGAGCAAAGAAAGCCAAGAAAAAGGAAAAGAAGAAGAAACAUAGAUCGAAGAAAUACAAGAAAAAGAAGUCUAAGAAGAAUAGAAAAGAUUCCAGUGAUUCAAGCUCUAAAGAUUCCCAGGAAGAGUUUCUGGAGAAUCCCUGGAAGGAUCGAUCAAAGCCUGAAGAACCCUCAGACUUAAUUGGCCCAGAGGCUCCAAAAACACUUGCCUCUCAGGAUGAUAAACCUUUGAACUAUGGCCAUGCGCUGUUACCUGGUGAGGGCGCAGCUAUGGCUGAAUAUGUGAAAGCGGGGAAACGUAUCCCAAGAAGAGGUGAAAUUGGCUUGACGAGUGAAGAAAUUGCAUCAUUUGAAUGUUCGGGUUAUGUAAUGAGUGGUAGCAGGCAUCGCCGAAUGGAGGCCGUGCGACUGCGGAAAGAGAACCAGAUCUAUAGUGCUGAUGAGAAGAGAGCCCUGGCGUCCUUUAACCAAGAAGAGAGGCGAAAGAGAGAAAACAAGAUUUUGGCCAGUUUUCGAGAGAUGGAAACAAUUUCUCAUUGUGCUACUCUCCCAUGGAUGGCUUAGCCAAUUACAUAUUAUUGGACACUCAAAAUCAACAGGCACCUGGAAGUACAUGCCCAAAACUCUUAUCAAUGCUGUGGAAGAGCUCUUCUAGUCUUCAGGUCACUCUCAGAGUGAGUGAACAGGCGGCAUCUUAACAAAGAUCUCAAGAGAGCCUGAUUCACAAACCCUGGCUGCAGUAGGCAGAGGCUUUCGCCCGACUCCAAAGGGGGACGUUCUCCAAAGCAAGAAGGUCCAAGAGUAAGUAGUACUUUGUGCCGUGCACCUCGCUUCCACCUCACUGGGCCUUCCUUGGGCCUAGGGAACUGCCCUUAGGGCUGUAGGCCGUGACGGGCUGGCCAGAGAAGCAGAGACAGCAGGAAGCUUCUCGAGGGCUGAAGAGUUUGCCUCCACCUGUUCCGGCUCGGCUGUCUUCUGAGGAAAUACAGUGGGCGAGUAGGGACUGAGGAAAUACAGCGAGUAGGGAUUUCAGGUCAUGGUUUAACCCACCCUGCCAGGUAUGCAAGGCAACCUGGAUAAGCCGCUCCAGGAUAAGCCACACAAAUGGGUCAGACCCAGGCAGAGGCAGAAAAGAGACAGGAAUUCACAGACAUGCACAUCACAGUGUGCAGGCAUGAUGUUCCAAAACCAACUCAGAAAGAUCCAUCGGCAUCCCCUCUGUUAAUACGAGGUCUCUAAAGUUGGUGACGGGAGAAUUCCUGGUUUGAAAGCCAGCAUGGGAAAAUGGCUUAACCGGGCCUCUCGGAUUUGCCGAGGGAGACGUAAGGUUAGGAAGAUACAAACAAGGAAAGACGACUGUGCCUCUCACCCAUCGAGCCAUACCAUUUUGAUCUUGGAACCCAGAUGGGGGACAAUUGUUUACUUUUUAGUCUCCUUUGAAAUCAUCUAGGAUUUCUGGGUCUGAAACUUUUCAUCAGAUGCUCCUUUUCAUUGUUCCUCGCCCUUGUAUGCCCAUCCGGAGCGGUCCACUAACUUACCAGGACGAACUCCUCAAUCUGUUUGCGGCCCCUUUCUGCUGUGAAUUCACCGUGUGUGAUCCAUUUGAUGCUUUUGGUGGGCUUUUCAGCUUCUGCAAGAAAAGGAGGUGUACAAAUUAUAUAUCAUCUGCCUGAAACUAUCAUUUUUUACCAUCUCCUCUCCUGAGGUAAUAUACUUCCAUAAGUACUUGGUUUGGUGAACACUUCCAGAAAACUGUUCAGUGAAAGGGAAGGUAACAUGCCUCCUGACUUCAGUGGGCGUGCUUUCUGCUGUUCCAUCAUAACGUGUGCUGCUGGUUUAUGGUGACAGAUGUGUCACAUCGGGAAUCUCUUUGCUCCUAUUCUGGUAAGAGGUUUAUCAUAAAUGAUCACUAAAAUUUUCCAGAUGUUUUUAACAUCUACGGAAAUGGUGAAACUUAAUCGUUAUUCGGGCUGUGAACAAGGGUUCAUCACAGUGUAAGACUCUGCCCCUUUUCUGUCUUUUUUCCAUCCUUUCCUCUUGAGUCUUGGAUUCUCUUUCUUUCCUGGCUACUAUUUAAGUCUCUUCACUUUUGACAAAUCACUUCCUUCUAGCACAGCUAUGCAUCCCUGUGGCCAGUGGCAUGGGGGGGGUGCUGUAGCAAAGUGGGUGUCUCUCUCCAAAGGGAGCUCAUUAUUCUUCUGUAGUUACUGCUUCCAAUUUUGGGGUGUUUAAUGUGCCUUGUUUCAUUUAACUCAGCCCUACUCCAUGAAAUCGUGCACUAGACACCUUCCAUUUGCCCUUUCAGAUCCACUCCUCCUGUGUCCCCUGCUCUCUGUCCUGUAAGGCUGACCUGCCUGGACUGCAUCAGUGGGCUCUCCCCUUCCCUCUGGCUUCCAGGAGGUUCUGCACAAUGCGGAGACCAGGCUGAGGGAGGAGAAGGAAGGCAAGUGAUAUGUUCUCUGGGGAGCAGUCCGCCUUCAGGGUCCCCUGUGGCUGGAGCAGACCCUGCUUGUCCCAGGGCAGGGGUCUCACUUCUCAGCCCUGUAAGGGCAGUUAUGCUCUCCCCUCAGCCCCGUUCUAGAACAGCCCAACUGUUCUAGCCCCAGGGGAGCUGCACUUGCCCUUGUAGCCCUCCUGUCCGCCCACACCUUCGUAAACACUCCGUUCGCUUAACCCUUCUCUACCUGCACUGCUCUUAGUACGCCAGGUUUCCUGGUGGGACCCUGCGACACAGAGAGACUCUUGUCACCACAUGAAAGGAGGAGGCCAGGCUCACAGCCAGACUGUCUGGCUCGGCGGCUGAUGCACUCAACUACCCCACUCUCUUCCCUCCAGGACUCCAGAGUCUGAAGCCCUCCUGAAGUUCAGAAUGUGCUCACUUGCUUUCUGUGAGCCCCUUCGAGGAGAGGCACCCUCCGCUCCCUUUCUCAUUGUUGGUUCCAGGGUGUGCUGGGGGCUGUCCAGGGCAGCCCAGUUCUUGGGGCCGUCAGUCCAGGCAUGGUCUGAACAGCCUUUCAAGCCUUGGGUAAUGCUGACUUGUGUUCAUUUGGGUCUUCAUAUUAGCAUUUGUGGCUCGGUUUGCAUCUGCCUCAGUUCCCUGUGGCUGCUCUCCGGGGGUGGACGAGGCCGUGUACCGGGGGAGGACGGAGUCUUCCCAGGCUGCCCGUCCCAGACAGUGAGGGGAGCCUGAAGGUUGGCCAGUGAGGGAGUCCAAAGGCCCUCGAGCUAGAGAACUGGCUGUCCCCAGCCUAAGAAUUGGGCCAAUUAGGCCACAGCAAUUUGCUAUAAACUCUGUAGUUAAAGACAACAGUGGAGUUUUUUUGGUAAACCGGUAAAUUUAGGAGGCUUUGGUGAGUUAACCGUACAGCAGCUUGAUCCUUUAAACGAAUGGCCCACGUGGCGACUCGGUCACUCAGUGACUUGGGUUUCAGCAAACUGCUUCUUGAUGAAUUGAACAGAAGCCAAAUAUGUAACUUCCAAAACCAGGCAGAGGAGGUGGGGGGUUCUCAUCCAUGGAAGGACCUCCUUAAGACCUUCCCUAGGGAGCCCUGUAUUCCGGCAGGAGGGAGAAAGGGGAGCAGGGGCUCACAUCGUGCCCUUGCACAUCCAUGGGCACGCAUCCUUCAUAAGCGUCCCUCCGACUGACUUGUCCUCAUGCUUCGUCUCCCCUCCCUGCCUAAGGAGGAGGCCAGAUGGGCAGGAAAGGCCGGGCGUGUGGUGGAGCCCGGGGUCAGGUGACAGCUGCAGAGAACCAGUGUGAGGCCUCUUUGCAGCACCCCCCACCCCCCACAAGCUCCCCACCCCAGUACCUGAGUGAGCAGAUCCUUGUUUGGAGCAGUACCGGCCAGGUCAGCCUCAGACUCCCGGCCGCUCUGGCCCAGGCCUGCCAGACAGAAUGUUGACAUGUGCUCCCCGGGCAACACCCAUUCCCACCAAUGGGAAGCAAAGCCCUGAGUGGCCACCCGCUUCUGCCAGUGAAGGCAGGGAUAGUCCGUCCCAGCAACCUUGUGACCUCUGCCCUGUGGCACUCAUGGCCAGCUUCCUCCGGCAGUGGGGGAGCUCAAAGGGCUUUUGCUGGAGAAGCAGGGAUGGCAGGUGCGGCAUGUGGUGGGGGUGAUGGGGGUCUGCUCUCUGGGCCACUGGGUGCAGCGCCGUGUGUGUGUGCAUGUGUGUGCGUGUGUGUGUGUGUGUGUGUGUGUGUGGUCUCCGCCUCCUCCUGGCAGCCUGCUGGCCACCAGUAGUGUUUGCGUUACCAGGAGACACAGCAAGGCACCCAGGGUAUCAGACCCAGGGCCGCUGGCCUCACUGAUGGAACUCCUUACUUCUCGAGACCCACAUUCCCAGGCUCGGAACUCCCUGCGUGCUUGACUGUUUUCAGGGGUGUCUUUUGUGAAUCACGGAUGAGCUUCCAACAUAAUGGUUAUCAGCCUAGACCCGGGAACAGUUUACUGCGCGUUUCAUAGUUUCCUUGUCUGCGAAAUGGGGAUCAUAGUGCCUGUGGAAUAGGGGUCCGCAGGAGGACCGGAUCCCGCGAUUCCUGUCAAGACUGGGAACAGUGCUUGGUGCAUCAGAAGCGGUCUUCACACUGACCAGAUCGUUUUUCUAGUAUUAUCACUAAUAGCAGUAGUACUGUAGAGUGUUCUUUUAAAUGGUAAAAUGGAAAGUUGUGGGCCCUGGGGCGCCUGGGUGGCUCAGUUGGUUAAGCGUCUGCCUUGGGCUUAGGUUAUAAUCCUGGGACCCUGGGAUAGAGCCCUGAGUCCUCGUCAUCGUCAUUGUACUUGUUGUCGUUGUCAUCCUCAGGCUCCCUGCGCUCCCUCUCCCCCUCCCCUCCCUCUGCAGCUCCCCC
Molecule: RNA transcript, 5670 nt
Organism: Lutra lutra (Eurasian river otter)
Lineage: Eukaryota; Metazoa; Chordata; Mammalia; Carnivora; Mustelidae
Gene: NKAP
Gene name: NFKB activating protein
Exons: 13
Source: RefSeq, a predicted model, not a curated record